Molecule: ribosomal RNA, 108 nt
Filed under: Bacillota bacterium
Lineage: Bacteria; Bacillati; Bacillota
Description: partial 16S ribosomal RNA
Rfam family: Bacterial small subunit ribosomal RNA
Source: RNAcentral
UUUACGGAGAGUUUGAUCCUGGCUCAGGACGAACGCUGGCGGCGUGCCUAACACAUGCAAGUCGAACGGAGAUGUUUUGAAAGCUUGCUGAUAAACAUCUUAGUGGCG